Molecule: ribosomal RNA, 425 nt
Filed under: uncultured bacterium
Lineage: Bacteria
Description: bacterial SSU rRNA
Rfam family: Bacterial small subunit ribosomal RNA
Source: RNAcentral
GAGGAAUUUUCCGCAAUGGGCGCAAGCCUGACGGAGCGACGCCGCGUGAGGGAUGAAGGCUUUCGGGUUGUAAACCUCUUUUGUGGGGGAAAAAGAUGUUCAUGAUAACACCAUGAGCAUUUGAUGGUACUCCAUGAAUAAGCCCCGGCUAACUACGUGCCAGCAGCCGCGGUAAUACGUAGGGGGCGAGCGUUGUCCGGAGUUACUGGGCGUAAAGGGCGUGUAGGCGGUUGGAUAAGUCUGGUGUGAAAUCCCGUGGCUCAACCACGGAAUUGCGCUGGAAACUGUCUGACUGGAGUUCGGUAGGGGUCACUGGAAUCCCCGGUGUAACGGUGAAAUGUGUAGAUAUCGGGGGGAACACCUGUGGCGAAGGCGGGUGACUGGGCCGCAACUGACGCUGAUACGCGAAAGCGUGGGGAGCAAAC